This 785-nucleotide unclassified non-coding RNA is filed under the name Hevea brasiliensis (rubber tree). The record is from RNAcentral. Lineage: Eukaryota; Viridiplantae; Streptophyta; Magnoliopsida; Malpighiales; Euphorbiaceae.
UUAUUAAGCGUGUCAUUCGUUCUCAAAAUCGUGUUAUUGUUGAGGGAAAAAAUCUGGUGAAAAAGCACAUCAAGGCAGGCGAAGGUCAUGAAGGGGGGGUGUUUUCAGGUGAAGUUGAAGCCCCACUUCAUGCCUCAAAUGUUCAAGUUCUUGAUCCAGUCACUGGGAAACCUUGCAAGGUUGGAAUUAGAUAUUUAGAAGAUGGUAUCAAAGUGAGAGUUUCUAGAGGUCAAGGGGCAUCUGGGUCUAUAAUUCCUCGUCCUGAGAUUUUGAAGAUUAGGACAACACCAAGACCUACUGUAGCUGGUCCUAAGGAUACUCCUAUGGAUCUCGUGUUGGAGAGGACUUACGAUGCUAAAACUGGGAAGGGCAUGCCUGACCUUUGAAGAAAUCUUGUUCAAGUUAGUAGUGGAUAUCAAACAUACUAAUGGAAGUUGCAGGAACAUGAGUCGCAUAAGCUAGAUGUGUAGAACAGUGAUUUUGUGAGUUCAGCCAUCUAGUUUUAUUUUCAUUAGUGCAUUUUUGAAAGUUGAACGAAUGGAUAAAUGAGUUCUAUCCGUAGUUUGAUCAUCACUGCUAGCUUGUGUGUGGCAAGUACUGUGUUUCAGAGUCUCUCACUCUCUAGCCAAUAAAAAAUAUAGGUACUCUUUGAGAUGAUAGGCACAUAUGCUGAUCCUAAUAUUCUCGAGUAAUAGUUUUUAUGAAGUGUAUGCUGUUAGCUACUAGUACUAGCAAAUAUCAUGUGAGCUGACUUAUUAAAUAAUGCAUUUUGAGCAGCUGGUUUU